This 2343-nucleotide long non-coding RNA is filed under the name Mus musculus (house mouse). RNAcentral's name for it is "predicted gene, 35974". The record is from RNAcentral. Lineage: Eukaryota; Metazoa; Chordata; Mammalia; Rodentia; Muridae.
AGCUCUAGCUCUUGCUCCUUCGCCUGCUUGCUUCGUGAGACUGAGUAACUACUAGAUCCUUGGACUUCCAUUCACAGCUGCGACUGAACAAUUGUUGGGAGUUGGGCUGCCAACUUAGAUCACAUUGAUGGAUAUUGAACUAUCCCUGCAUCCCUGGAAAGAAGUCUACUUGAUCAAACUAGACUUAUAAAGAAUAAGAGUUAAAACACGCACGGAAACCACUGAGAGUGGAAGAGAGAUGUCACCAGUGGACCGAAGCCAGGACAGCUCCUGCAAGUCUUUGCUAACAGCUGGCUUUAAACCACAGACCCAUCAACCUGGAGGAGGAACGGAGAGGAGAUAAAAGGCAGCAGUAGAGUCUAAACAGGAGCCAACAGCCUCUGUUCUAUUUUCUUAAACUCUUCUGUUCUAGACAGAAUCUAGGCACACAGCUCAAGAUGGAAUUGAUGUCUCUCCCCCUUGCUCUUUCUCUCCCUCUCUGCAUCUCUUCCCAUUUUCCCAGGCAGGCUUCAAAUCCAAUACAAAGCCAAGGAUGACCUGAACCCCUCCCUCUUUAAAAUAUAUUAAUCAUUUUAUUUGUUUACAUUUCAAAUGUUAUCACCCUUCCUGCUCUCCCCUCCCUGAGGCCUCCCCUAUGCCCCCUCCCCACCCAGCCACUCCCACCAUAUCCCUCUAGUAUCCCCCUUCUCUGGGGUAUCAAGCCUCCACAGGACCAAGUGCCACCCCUUCCACUGUCACCAGACGAGUUAGUUCUCUGCUACAUAAGUAUUGGGAGCCAUGAACCAGCCCCUUAUACUCUUUGGCCGGUAGCUUAGCUCCUGGGAGCUCUGAGUGGUCUGGUUAAUUGAUACUGUUGUUCUUCCUGUGGGAUAGCCAUGCCCUUCAGGUCCUUCAGCCCUUCCCCUAACUCUUCCAUUGGGGUCCCCACACUCAGUCCAAUGGUUGCUGUGAGUUUCUCCAUCUGUCUUAGUCAGUUGCUGGCAGAGGCUCUCAGAGGACAGCCAUACAAGUCUCCUGUCUCUAAGUACUUCUUGGCAUCAGCAGUAUUUUUGGGGUUUGGUGUCUGUGGAUAGAAUACAGUGGGAUAGUCUCUGGAUGGCCUUUCCUUCAACCUCUGCUCCAUUUUUGUUCCUAAAUUUCCUUUAGACAGAGACAAUUCUCAGUAAAAAUUUUUUUAGAUGGGUGGGUGGCUCCAUCCAUCAACUGAGUGCCAUGUUAGUCUCUUCAGGUUCCAUCUCCCUUGUAUUUCAGCUAUUGUUAUCCCCAUUGAGUCCUAGGAACCAUUUGAAUUCCUGGCAUCUGGGACUUUCUAGUGGUUCUCCAAGUUCCCCAACCCCCACUGCUACUUAUUUCUACUCAUUCUCCUGUACCUCUAGACGUCUCUCCUGUCUCAUCCCAUACCUGAUCCUGUCCUUUCUUUCUUCCCCUCCCUUUCCCCCUCCCACCGAGAUCCCCCCUUCCUCUGCCUGCCAUAAUUAUUUUGUUCCCCCUUCUAAGUAGGUUUGAAGCACCCACACUUUGGUCUUCCUUCUUGUUAAACUUCAUAUGUUUUUUGAGUUGUAUCAUGGGUAUUCUGAGCUUUUGGGUAAAAUCCACUUAUCAGUGAGUACAUACCAUGCAUGUCCUUUUGGGUUUGUGUUACCUCACUCAAGAUGAUAUUUUCUAGUUCCAUCCAUUUGCCUACAAAGUUCAUGAAGUCAUCAUUUUAAUAGCUGAGUAGUAUUCCAUUAUGUAAAUGUGCCACAAUCUGUAUCCAUUCUUCUAUUGAGGGAUAUCUGGGGUGUUUUCAGCUUCUGGUUAUUAUAAAUUAGGCUUCACUGAACACAGUGAAGCAUGUGUCUUUAUUAUGUGUUGGAGCAUCUUUUGAGUAUAAGUUCAGGAGUGGUAUACCUGGAUCUUUAGUUAGAGCUUGUCACAAUUUUAUGAGUAAUCUCCAGAUUGAUUUCCAAAGUGGUUGUACUAGCUUGCAAUCCCACUAGCAAUGGAGGAGUGUUCCUCUUUCUCCACAUCUUCACCAGUAUCUGCUGUCACCUUAGUUUUUUAUCUUAGCUAUUCUGACAGGUAUAAGGUGGAAUCCCAGGGUCAUUUUGAUUUGCAUUUUGCUUAUGACUAAGGAAUUUGAACAUUUCUGUAGGUGUUUCUCAGCCACUCAGUAUUCCUCAGACAGCCAUCAGUGGAAAGAGAGGCCCAUUGGUCCUGCAAACUUUAUAUGUCUCAGUACAUGGGAACGCCAAGGCCAAGAAGUAGGAGUGGGAGGGUGGGGGAGCAGAUGGGGGAGCAUGUGGGGGACAUUUGGGAUAACAUUGGAAAUGUAAAUGAAAUAAAUGCCUAAUAAAUAAAAGG